RNAcentral lists this ribosomal RNA (781 nucleotides) under uncultured Bacteroidota bacterium. RNAcentral describes it as "bacterial SSU rRNA". It matches the Rfam family "Bacterial small subunit ribosomal RNA", at positions 564 to 1349 of the family's 1533-position model. The record is from RNAcentral. Lineage: Bacteria; Pseudomonadati; Bacteroidota.
AGGGAGCGUAGGCCGGAGAUUAAGCGUGUUGUGAAAUGUAGAUGCUCAACAUCUGAACUGCAGCGCGAACUGGUUUCCUUGAGUACGCACAAAGUGGGCGGAAUUCGUGGUGUAGCGGUGAAAUGCUUAGAUAUCACGAAGAACUCCGAUUGCGAAGGCAGCUCACUGGAGCGCAACUGACGCUGAAGCUCGAAAGUGCGGGUAUCGAACAGGAUUAGAUACCCUGGUAGUCCGCACGGUAAACGAUGGAUGCCCGCUGUUGGUCUGAACAGGUCAGCGGCCAAGCGAAAGCAUUAAGCAUCCCACCUGGGGAGUACGCCGGCAACGGUGAAACUCAAAGGAAUUGACGGGGGCCCGCACAAGCGGAGGAACAUGUGGUUUAAUUCGAUGAUACGCGAGGAACCUUACCCGGGCUUGAAUUGCAGAGGAAGGAUUUGGAGACAAUGACGCCCUUCGGGGCCUCUGUGAAGGUGCUGCAUGGUUGUCGUCAGCUCGUGCCGUGAGGUGUCGGCUUAAGUGCCAUAACGAGCGCAACCCCUCUCCUUAGUUGCCAUCAGGUGAAGCUGGGCACUCUGGGGACACUGCCACCGUAAGGUGUGAGGAAGGUGGGGAUGACGUCAAAUCAGCACGGCCCUUACGUCCGGGGCUACACACGUGUUACAAUGGCAGGUACAGAGAGACGGUCCCUUGCAAAAUGGAUCAAAUCCUUAAAGCCUGUCUCAGUUCGGACUGGGGUCUGCAACCCGACCCCACGAAGCUGGAUUCGCUAGUAAUCGCGCAU